Molecule: ribosomal RNA, 301 nt
Filed under: uncultured bacterium
Lineage: Bacteria
Description: partial 16S ribosomal RNA
Rfam family: Bacterial small subunit ribosomal RNA
Source: RNAcentral
CAGCAGCCGCGGGAAUACGCAGGUGGCAAGCGUUGUCCGGAAUUAUUGGGCGUAAAGGGCUCGCAGGCGGUUUCUUAAGUCUGAUGUGAAAGCCCCCGGCUCAACCGGGGAGGGUCAUUGGAAACUGGGAAACUUGAGUGCAGAAGAGGAGAGUGGAAUUCCACGUGUAGCGGUGAAAUGCGUAGAGAUGUGGAGGAACACCAGUGGCGAAGGCGACUCUCUGGUCUGUAACUGACGCUGAGGAGCGAAAGCGUGGGGAGCGAACAGGAUUAGAGACCCGCGUAGUCCCUGUCUCUUAUAC